GAUGAACGCUAGCGGGAGGCCUAAUACAUGCAAGUCGAGCGGUAGAGUCCUUCGGGACUUGAGAGCGGCGCACGGGUGAGUAACGCGUACAUGACCUGCCUUUAAGACCGGGAUAGCCCUGGGAAACUGGGAUUAAUACCGGAUGUGAUAAUAUGUAUAGAGAUAUAUUAUUAAAGUUGAGGCGCUUAGAGAUGGGUGUGCGUUUGAUUAGCUAGUUGGUAGGGUAACGGCCUACCAAGGCGACGAUCAAUAGGGGGCGUGAGAGCGUGACCCCCCACACGGGUACUGAGACACGGACCCGACUCCUACGGGAGGCAGCAGUAAGGAAUAUUGGUCAAUGGACGGAAGUCUGAACCAGCCAUCCCGCGUGCAGGAUGAAGGUCCUAUGGAUUGUAAACUGCUUUUAGCAGAGACGAAACGCCGACAUUUAUGUUGGUCUGACGGUAUCUGCGGAAUAAGCACCGGCUAACUCCGUG
This 476-nucleotide ribosomal RNA is filed under the name uncultured organism. RNAcentral describes it as "bacterial SSU rRNA". It matches the Rfam family "Bacterial small subunit ribosomal RNA", at positions 28 to 507 of the family's 1533-position model. The record is from RNAcentral.